AAAUUGAAGAGUUUGAUCAUGGCUCAGAUUGAACGCUGGCGGCAGGCCUAACACAUGCAAGUCGAACGGUAACAGGAAACAGCUUGCUGAUUUGCUGACGAGUGGCGGACGGGUGAGUAAUGUCUGGGAAACUGCCUGAUGGAGGGGGAUAACUACUGGAAACGGUAGCUAAUACCGCAUAACGUCGCAAGACCAAAGAGGGGGACCUUCGGGCCUCUUGCCAUCGGAUGUGCCCAGAUGGGAUUAGCUAGUAGGUGGGGUAACGGCUCACCUAGGCGACGAUCCCUAGCUGGUCUGAGAGGAUGACCAGCCACACUGGAACUGAGACACGGUCCAGACUCCUACGGGAGGCAGCAGUGGGGAAUAUUGCACAAUGGGCGCAAGCCUGAUGCAGCCAUGCCGCGUGUAUGAAGAAGGCCUUCGGGUUGUAAAGUACUUUCAGCGGGGAGGAAGGGAGUAAAGUUAAUACCUUUGCUCAUUGACGUUACCCGCAGAAGAAGCACCGGCUAACUCCGUGCCAGCAGCCGCGGUAAUACGGAGGGUGCAAGCGUUAAUCGGAAUUACUGGGCGUAAAGCGCACGCAGGCGGUUUGUUAAGUCAGAUGUGAAAUCCCCGGGCUCAACCUGGGAACUGCAUCUGAUACUGGCAAGCUUGAGUCUCGUAGAGGGGGGUAGAAUUCCAGGUGUAGCGGUGAAAUGCGUAGAGAUCUGGAGGAAUACCGGUGGCGAAGGCGGCCCCCUGGACGAAGACUGACGCUCAGGUGCGAAAGCGUGGGGAGCAAACAGGAUUAGAUACCCUGGUAGUCCACGCCGUAAACGAUGUCGACUUGGAGGUUGUGCCCUUGAGGCGUGGCUUCCGGAGCUAACGCGUUAAGUCGACCGCCUGGGGAGUACGGCCGCAAGGUUAAAACUCAAAUGAAUUGACGGGGGCCCGCACAAGCGGUGGAGCAUGUGGUUUAAUUCGAUGCAACGCGAAGAACCUUACCUGGUCUUGACAUCCACGGAAGUUUUCAGAGAUGAGAAUGUGCCUUCGGGAACCGUGAGACAGGUGCUGCAUGGCUGUCGUCAGCUCGUGUUGUGAAAUGUUGGGUUAAGUCCCGCAACGAGCGCAACCCUUAUCCUUUGUUGCCAGCGGUCCGGCCGGGAACUCAAAGGAGACUGCCAGUGAUAAACUGGAGGAAGGUGGGGAUGACGUCAAGUCAUCAUGGCCCUUACGACCAGGGCUACACACGUGCUACAAUGGCGCAUACAAAGAGAAGCGACCUCGCGAGAGCAAGCGGACCUCAUAAAGUGCGUCGUAGUCCGGAUUGGAGUCUGCAACUCGACUCCAUGAAGUCGGAAUCGCUAGUAAUCGUGGAUCAGAAUGCCACGGUGAAUACGUUCCCGGGCCUUGUACACACCGCCCGUCACACCAUGGGAGUGGGUUGCAAAAGAAGUAGGUAGCUUAACCUUCGGGAGGGCGCUUACCACUUUGUGAUUCAUGACUGGGGUGAAGUCGUAACAAGGUAACCGUAGGGGAACCUGCGGUUGGAUCACCUCCUUACCUUAAAGAAGC
RNAcentral lists this ribosomal RNA (1554 nucleotides) under Escherichia coli. RNAcentral's name for it is "bacterial SSU rRNA". It matches the Rfam family "Bacterial small subunit ribosomal RNA". Lineage: Bacteria; Pseudomonadati; Pseudomonadota; Gammaproteobacteria; Enterobacterales; Enterobacteriaceae. The record is from RNAcentral.